UUGGAGGGCAAGUCUGGUGCCAGCAGCCGCGGUAAUUCCAGCUCCAAUAGCGUAUAUUAAAGUUGUUGCAGUUAAAAAGCUCGUAGUUGAAUUUCGGGAUUAGUACGUUGGUCGUGCCUUAGGUACGUACUGGUGUUACUGGUUCCUACCUUCUGACGAACCAUCAUGUCAUUCAUUUGGUGUGGCGGGGAAUCAGGACUGUUACUUUGAAAAAAUUAGAGUGUUUAAAGCAGGCUCGCGCUUGAAUACAUUAGCAUGGAAUAAUGAAAUAGGACGUUGAUCCUAUUUUGUUGGUUUCUAGGAUUGACGUAAUGAUUAAUAGGGAUAGUUGGGGGCAUUAGUAUUCAAUUGUCAGAGGUGAAAUUCUUGGAUCUAUUGAAGACUAACUACUGCGAAAGCAUUUGCCAAGGAUGUUUUCAUUAAUCAAGAACGAAAGUUAGGGGAUCGAAGACGAUCAGAUACCGUCGUAGUCUUAACCAUAAACUAUGCCGACUAGGGAUCGGAUGAUGUUAUUUUUAAUGACUCAUUCGGCGCCUUACGGGAAAC
RNAcentral lists this ribosomal RNA (546 nucleotides) under uncultured Glomeromycotina. RNAcentral's name for it is "SSU rRNA". It matches the Rfam family "Eukaryotic small subunit ribosomal RNA", at positions 548 to 1098 of the family's 1831-position model. Lineage: Eukaryota; Fungi; Glomeromycota. The record is from RNAcentral.